RNAcentral lists this ribosomal RNA (761 nucleotides) under uncultured bacterium. Its description in RNAcentral is "bacterial SSU rRNA". It matches the Rfam family "Bacterial small subunit ribosomal RNA", at positions 64 to 841 of the family's 1533-position model. The record is from RNAcentral.
CGACGAGAGAAAGGAGCUUGCUUUUCUGAUCUAGUGGCGGACGGGUGAGUAACACGUGAGCAAUCUGCCUUUCAGAGGGGGAUACCGAUUGGAAACGAUCGUUAAUACCGCAUAACAUAAUUGAACCGCAUGAUUUGAUUAUCAAAGAUUUAUCGCUGAAAGAUGAGCUCGCGUCUGAUUAGCUAGUUGGUAAGGUAACGGCUUACCAAGGCGACGAUCAGUAGCCGGACUGAGAGGUUGAUCGGCCACAUUGGGACUGAGACACGGCCCAGACUCCUACGGGAGGCAGCAGUGGGGAAUAUUGCACAAUGGAGGAAACUCUGAUGCAGCGAUGCCGCGUGAGGGAAGAAGGUUUUAGGAUUGUAAACCUCUGUCUUCAGGGACGAAAAAAGACGGUACCUGAGGAGGAAGCUCCGGCCAACUACGUGCCAGCAGCCGCGGUAAUACGUAGGGAGCGAGCGUUGUCCGGAAUUACUGGGUGUAAAGGGAGCGUAGGCGGGAUCGCAAGUCAGAUGUGAAAACUAUGGGCUUAACCCAUAAACUGCAUUUGAAACUGUGGUUCUUGAGUGAAGUAGAGGUAAGCGGAAUUCCUAGUGUAGCGGUGAAAUGCGUAGAUAUUAGGAGGAACAUCAGUGGCGAAGGCGGCUUACUGGGCUUUAACUGACGCUGAGGCUCGAAAGCGUGGGGAGCAAACAGGAUUAGAUACCCUGGUAGUCCACGCCGUAAACGAUGAUUACUAGGUGUGGGGGGACUGACCCCUU